This 666-nucleotide long non-coding RNA is filed under the name Carica papaya (papaya). Its description in RNAcentral is "long non-coding RNA (CPAP_LNC009760)". Lineage: Eukaryota; Viridiplantae; Streptophyta; Magnoliopsida; Brassicales; Caricaceae. The record is from RNAcentral.
UGGAUGGUAUUUUUUAGUGCUCAUACCAGAUGGGGUGUGGGGACAGCCGGUUAGUUAACAAUGUUAAAUAUUGGUUUACGUGUAGUGGGACAUCUUUAUGAGGCCCUAGAGAUACCAGUAGGCAAAUAAAAGAGAAAAGUGGUUGUUAUUGCUCACUUGAAAAUGAAAUUGGAAUGUUAUUUGAAUUAUUGUAUCUUUAUAGGUCGAUUUUGGAAAUCUUGCAACAGUAAAUAUAUGUAAUAAAUGAUUUUUUCCUUAUGAUAAAUGAAUUUACUUAAAUCAAGAGCUCCAUUGCUUGUUUUUAUGAUUUUUACCAACCUUCAGUUUCUGUAUCAGUGAGUAGUGUGAUAUUCUUAUUGGGCUACUGUAGCUCACCCUUUCAUUAACUAUUUCAGAUCAAGAGGACCUAGACCCAGAUCCCGAUCAACAAGAGAGUUGUAAAUAAUUCACCACCCGAACUCCCUUCAAAAGCUAAUGAAGGUCAUCCUAGAAUGCUUACUAUAUUGUCUUUUGUUUAUUUAUAUGAUUUUCAUUUGUUUCUUUUAGAAGAGACAUUCUCGUAACCCUAUUGGGCAUUCUAAAUUAUUAUGUAAAGAAUGUGAACCCUAAACUCUAUUAUUUUGCUUCCGCAUUUAAUUCAUGACUUCAUUUCUUUUUAAGUUUCGG